RNAcentral lists this ribosomal RNA (447 nucleotides) under uncultured bacterium. RNAcentral describes it as "SSU rRNA". It matches the Rfam family "Bacterial small subunit ribosomal RNA", at positions 26 to 518 of the family's 1533-position model. The record is from RNAcentral.
AGAACGAACGCUGGCGGCAUGCCUAACACAUGCAAGUCGAACGCGUGGAGCAAUCCACGAGUGGCGGACGGGUGAGUAACGCGUGGGAACCUGCCCUGGAGUGUGGGAUAACCGAGGGAAACUUCGGCUAAUACCGCAUACGACCUGAGGGUGAAAGAUUUAUCGCUCUAGGAGGGGCCCGCGUCGGAUUAGCUAGUUGGUGGGGUAAAGGCCUACCAAGGCAGUGAUCCGUAGCUGGUCUGAGAGGAUGAUCAGCCACACUGGGACUGAGACACGGCCCAGACUCCUACGGGAGGCAGCAGUGGGGAAUAUUGGACAAUGGGGGCAACCCUGAUCCAGCAAUGCCGCGUGAGUGAUGAAGGCCUUAGGGUUGUAAAGCUCUUUCGCGCGCGACGAUGAUGACGGUAGCGCGAGAAGAAGCCCGGCUAACUUCGCGCCAGCAGCCGC